Molecule: ribosomal RNA, 420 nt
Rfam family: Bacterial small subunit ribosomal RNA
ACGGAAGGCAGCAGUGGGGAAUAUUGGGCAAUGGGGGAAACCCUGACCCAGCAACGCCGCGUGAAGGAAGAAGGCCUUCGGGUUGUAAACUUCUUUUACCAGGGACGAAGAAAGUGACGGUACCUGGAGAAAAAGCAACGGCUAACUACGUGCCAGCAGCCGCGGUAAUACGUAGGUUGCAAGCGUUGUCCGGAUUUACUGGGUGUAAAGGGCGUGUAGGCGGAGCUGCAAGUCAGAUGUGAAAUCCCGGGGCUCAACCCCGGAACUGCAUUUGAAACUGUAGCCCUUGAGUAUCGGAGAGGCAAGCGGAAUUCCUGGUGUAGCGGUGAAGUGCGUAGAUAUUAGGAGGAACACCAGUGGCGAGGGCGGCUUGCUGGACGACAACUGACGCUGAGGCGCGAAAGCGUGGGGAGCAAACAG